CACACCUGCUCCUCUUUGUGCAUUAGCUGGAUCUCAGUGUUAUGCUUGGUUCCACUCAGCGUGAUAAGUUAUCUAUCGCUGAGGACACCCUGUUAAAAAGGGGUGGCCAAGGUAAAUGCAGAUGAACUGCUUCUAACAGUCCAUUGACUUGGACAAAUAUUAAUUUUAUGAUCUGAUCUCAAAUCAGGUAGGACUACCCGCUGAACUUAAGCAUAUCAAUAAGC
This 224-nucleotide ribosomal RNA is filed under the name Rhizoctonia solani. RNAcentral's name for it is "partial 28S ribosomal RNA". The record is from RNAcentral. Lineage: Eukaryota; Fungi; Basidiomycota; Agaricomycetes; Cantharellales; Ceratobasidiaceae.